Molecule: transfer RNA, 86 nt
Filed under: Kiritimatiellia bacterium
Lineage: Bacteria; Pseudomonadati; Kiritimatiellota; Kiritimatiellia
Description: Kiritimatiellae bacterium (gut metagenome) tRNA-Tyr
Rfam family: tRNA
About the family: Transfer RNA (tRNA) molecules are approximately 80 nucleotides in length. Their secondary structure includes four short double-helical elements and three loops (D, anti-codon, and T loops). Further hydrogen bonds mediate the characteristic L-shaped molecular structure. tRNAs have two regions of fundamental functional importance: the anti-codon, which is responsible for specific mRNA codon recognition, and the 3' end, to which the tRNAs corresponding amino acid is attached (by aminoacyl-tRNA synthetases). tRNAs cope with the degeneracy of the genetic code in two manners: having more than one tRNA (with a specific anti-codon) for a particular amino acid; and 'wobble' base-pairing, i.e. permitting non-standard base-pairing at the 3rd anti-codon position.
Source: RNAcentral
GGUAGGGUACCGAAGCGGCCAACCGGGGCAGACUGUAAAUCUGCUGGCGAAUGCCUUCCUUGGUUCGAAUCCAAGCCCUACCACCA